RNAcentral lists this ribosomal RNA (953 nucleotides) under Vibrio sp. RNAcentral's name for it is "bacterial SSU rRNA". It matches the Rfam family "Bacterial small subunit ribosomal RNA", at positions 62 to 992 of the family's 1533-position model. The record is from RNAcentral. Lineage: Bacteria; Pseudomonadati; Pseudomonadota; Gammaproteobacteria; Vibrionales; Vibrionaceae.
UCGAGCGGAACGAGUUAUCAGAACCUUCGGGGAACGAUAACGGCGUCGAGCGGCGGACGGGUGAGUAAUGCCUAGGAAAUUGCCCUGAUGUGGGGGAUAACCAUUGGAAACGAUGGCUAAUACCGCAUGAUGCCUACGGGCCAAAGAGGGGGACCUUCGGGCCUCUCGCGUCAGGAUAUGCCUAGGUGGGAUUAGCUAGUUGGUGAGGUAAGGGCUCACCAAGGCGACGAUCCCUAGCUGGUCUGAGAGGAUGAUCAGCCACACUGGAACUGAGACACGGUCCAGACUCCUACGGGAGGCAGCAGUGGGGAAUAUUGCACAAUGGGCGCAAGCCUGAUGCAGCCAUGCCGCGUGUGUGAAGAAGGCCUUCGGGUUGUAAAGCACUUUCAGUCGUGAGGAAGGUAGUGUAGUUAAUAGCUGCAUUAUUUGACGUUAGCGACAGAAGAAGCACCGGCUAACUCCGUGCCAGCAGCCGCGGUAAUACGGAGGGUGCGAGCGUUAAUCGGAAUUACUGGGCGUAAAGCGCAUGCAGGUGGUUUGUUAAGUCAGAUGUGAAAGCCCGGGGCUCAACCUCGGAAUUGCAUUUGAAACUGGCAGACUAGAGUACUGUAGAGGGGGGUAGAAUUUCAGGUGUAGCGGUGAAAUGCGUAGAGAUCUGAAGGAAUACCGGUGGCGAAGGCGGCCCCCUGGACAGAUACUGACACUCAGAUGCGAAAGCGUGGGGAGCAAACAGGAUUAGAUACCCUGGUAGUCCACGCCGUAAACGAUGUCUACUUGGAGGUUGUGGCCUUGAGCCGUGGCUUUCGGAGCUAACGCGUUAAGUAGACCGCCUGGGGAGUACGGUCGCAAGAUUAAAACUCAAAUGAAUUGACGGGGGGCCCGCACAAGCGGUGGAGCAUGUGGUUUAAUUCGAUGCAACGCGAAAGAACCUUUACCUACUCUUGACAUCCAGA